GUGAACGAGAAGUAUUUACGUCAGGAAGCUCUUGGUGCUAUAUGUUCCUUUGCGGAGAACACAAACUCAAGAAUUGUGUUUAAUGAAGUUUUAGUUGCUGCAAGAAAGGACAUAGCCAGAAAAGAUAUAUCUAGACUACGGGGUGGGUGGCCAAUUCAGGAUGCCUUCCAUGUGUUCUCACAGCAUUCAGUACUUUCAUACUUGUUUCUGGAUCAUGUUAUGUCUGUCAUCAAUCAGAUUCCUACUCUUGGUGGGGAUUGGGGUCAUGAUGAAAGUUCUAGCCAUGCAGUUG
This 292-nucleotide unclassified non-coding RNA is filed under the name Hevea brasiliensis (rubber tree). Lineage: Eukaryota; Viridiplantae; Streptophyta; Magnoliopsida; Malpighiales; Euphorbiaceae. The record is from RNAcentral.